Molecule: ribosomal RNA, 376 nt
Filed under: uncultured bacterium
Lineage: Bacteria
Description: bacterial SSU rRNA
Rfam family: Bacterial small subunit ribosomal RNA
Source: RNAcentral
UACGUAGGUGGCAAGCGUUGUCCGGAAUUAUUGGGCGUAAAGCGCGCGCAGGCGGCCUCUUAAGUCUGAUGUGAAAGCCCCCGGCUCAACCGGGGAGGGCCAUUGGAAACUGGGAGGCUUGAGUAUAGGAGAGAAGAGUGGAAUUCCACGUGUAGCGGUGAAAUGCGUAGAGAUGUGGAGGAACACCAGUGGCGAAGGCGACUCUUUGGCCUAUAACUGACGCUGAGGCGCGAAAGCGUGGGGAGCAAACAGGAUUAGAUACCCUGGUAGUCCACGCCGUAAACGAUGAGUGCUAGGUGUUGGAGGGUUUCCGCCCUUCAGUGCUGAAGCUAACGCAUUAAGCACUCCGCCUGGGGAGUACGGUCGCAAGGCUGAA